This 1404-nucleotide ribosomal RNA is filed under the name uncultured bacterium. RNAcentral's name for it is "16S ribosomal RNA". It matches the Rfam family "Bacterial small subunit ribosomal RNA". The record is from RNAcentral.
AGUCGAGCGGCAGCGAGAAGAAACUUGUUUUCUUUGUCGGCGAGCGGCGGACGGGUGAGUAAUGGUUGGGAACCUGGCCUAACGAGGGGGAUAACAGUUGGAAACGACUGCUAAUACCGCAUGACGUCUACGGACCAAAGAAGGGGAUCUUCGGACCUUUCGCGUUAGGAUGGGCCCAAUUGGGAUUAGCUAGUUGGUGAGGUAAUGGCUCACCAAGGCGACGAUCUCUAGCUGGUUUGAGAGGAUGAUCAGCCACACUGGAACUGAGACACGGUCCAGACUCCUACGGGAGGCAGCAGUGGGGAAUAUUGCACAAUGGGCGCAAGCCUGAUGCAGCCAUGCCGCGUGUAUGAAGAAGGCCUUCGGGUUGUAAAGUACUUUCAGCGAGGAGGAAGGUAGCGUAGUUAAUACCUGCGUUAUUUGACGUUACUCGCAGAAGAAGCACCGGCUAACUCCGUGCCAGCAGCCGCGGUAAUACGGAGGGUGCGAGCGUUAAUCGGAAUUACUGGGCGUAAAGCGCAUGCAGGCGGUUUGUUAAGUUAGAUGUGAAAGCCCCGGGCUUAACCUGGGAGUUGCAUUUAAGACUGGCAAGCUAGAGUCUUGUAGAGGGGGGUAGAAUUUCAGGUGUAGCGGUGAAAUGCGUAGAGAUCUGAAGGAAUACCGGUGGCGAAGGCGGCCCCCUGGACAAAGACUGACGCUCAGAUGCGAAAGCGUGGGUAGCAAACAGGAUUAGAUACCCUGGUAGUCCACGCUGUAAACGAUGUCUACUUGGAGGUUGGUGUCUUGAACACUGGCUUUCGAAGCUAACGCGUUAAGUAGACCGCCUGGGGAGUACGGUCGCAAGAUUAAAACUCAAAUGAAUUGACGGGGGCCCGCACAAGCGGUGGAGCAUGUGGUUUAAUUCGAUGCAACGCGAAGAACCUUACCUACUCUUGACAUCCAGAGAAGCCAGCAGAGAUGCAGGUGUGCCUUCGGGAACUCUGAGACAGGUGCUGCAUGGCUGUCGUCAGCUCGUGUUGUGAAAUGUUGGGUUAAGUCCCGCAACGAGCGCAACCCUUAUCCUUGUUUGCCAGCACGUAAAGGUGGGAACUCCAGGGAGACUGCCGGUGAUAAACCGGAGGAAGGUGGGGACGACGUCAAGUCAUCAUGGCCCUUACGAGUAGGGCUACACACGUGCUACAAUGGGGCAUACAGAGGGCAGCAAGACCGCGAGGUGGAGCGAAUCCCAGAAAGUGUCUCGUAGUCCGGAUUGGAGUCUGCAACUCGACUCCAUGAAGUCGGAAUCGCUAGUAAUCGUGGAUCAGAAUGCCACGGUGAAUACGUUCCCGGGCCUUGUACACACCGCCCGUCACACCAUGGGAGUGGGUUGCUCCAGAAGUAGAUAGCUUAACCUUCGGGAGGGCG